CCUACGGGAGGCAGCAGUGAGGAAUAUUGGUCAAUGGCCGCAGGUCUGAACCAGCCAAGUAGCGUGAAGGAUGACUGCCCUAUGGAUUGUAAACUUCUUUUGUAUGGGCAUAAAGCACGGCACGCAUGGCGUCUUGUGUGUACCAUAUGAAUAAGGAUCGGCUAACUCCGUGCCAGCAGCCGCGGCAAUACGGAGGGUUCGAGCGUUAUCCGGAUUUAUUGGGUUUAAAGGGAGCGUCGGUGGAAUGUUAAGUCAGUUGUGAAAUUUUGGGGGUCAACCGUCAGAUUGCAGUUGAAACUGGCGGUCUUGAGUACACGAGAGGUGUGCGGAAUGCGUGGUGUAGCGGUGAAAUGCUUAGAUAUCACGAAGAACUCCGAUUGCGAAUGCAGCUCACCGGCGUGCAACUGACACUGAUGCUCGAAAGUGUGGGUAUCGAACAGGAUUAGAUACCCUUGUAGUC
RNAcentral lists this ribosomal RNA (460 nucleotides) under uncultured bacterium. Its description in RNAcentral is "partial 16S ribosomal RNA". It matches the Rfam family "Bacterial small subunit ribosomal RNA", at positions 338 to 795 of the family's 1533-position model. The record is from RNAcentral.